RNAcentral lists this ribosomal RNA (350 nucleotides) under Nanorana yunnanensis (Yunan spiny frog). RNAcentral's name for it is "partial small subunit ribosomal RNA". It matches the Rfam family "Bacterial small subunit ribosomal RNA", at positions 866 to 1384 of the family's 1533-position model. The record is from RNAcentral. Lineage: Eukaryota; Metazoa; Chordata; Amphibia; Anura; Dicroglossidae.
UCAACGCCCGGGUACUACGAGCCCCAGCUUAAAACCCAAAGGACUUGACGGUGUCCCAUCCACCUAGAGGAGCCUGUUCUAUAAUCGAUAAUCCCCGCUAAACCCAACCUCCUCUUGCAAUCAGCCUGUAUACCUCCGUCGUAAGCUUACCAUAUGAAUGACCCCCAGUAAGCUAAAUGAUUAUAACACCCCAAUACGUCAGGUCAAGGUGCAGCUCAUGAGAAGGCAAGCAAUGGGCUACAAUUUCUAACCUAGAACAAACGAAACACUGCAUGAAACUCAGCUGUGAAGGCGGAUUUAGUAGUAAAAAGAAAAUAGCGUGUUCUUUUUAACUAGGCCCUGGGACGUGU